RNAcentral lists this ribosomal RNA (497 nucleotides) under uncultured bacterium. RNAcentral's name for it is "bacterial SSU rRNA". It matches the Rfam family "Bacterial small subunit ribosomal RNA", at positions 15 to 507 of the family's 1533-position model. The record is from RNAcentral.
GAUCAUGGCUUAGGACGAACGCUGGCGGCGUGCUUAACACAUGCAAGUCGAACGAGACGAUUGAAAGCUUGCUUUUGAAAGUCGAGUGGCAAACGGGUGAGUAACGCGUAGACAACCUGCCGCAAAGAUGGGGACAACAGUCCGAAAGGACUGCUAAUACCGAAUGUUGUAUCUCCUCCGCAUGGAAGAGAUAUUAAAGAUGGCCUCUACUUGUAAGCUAUCGCUUUGCGAUGGGUCUGCGUCUGAUUAGCUAGUUGGUGGGGCAACGGCCUACCAAGGCGACGAUCAGUAGCCGGACUGAGAGGUUGACCGGCCACAUUGGGACUGAGAUACGGCCCAGACUCCUACGGGAGGCAGCAGUGGGGAAUAUUGGGCAAUGGACGCAAGUCUGACCCAGCAACGCCGCGUGAAGGAAGAAGGCUUUCGGGUUGUAAACUUCUUUUGUCAGGGAAGAGCAGAAGACGGUACCUGACGAAUAAGCCACGGCUAACUACGUG